GACGAACGCUGGCGGCGUGCUUAACACAUGCAAGUCGAGCGGUAAGGCCCUUCGGGGUACACGAGCGGCGAACGGGUGAGUAACACGUGGGUGACCUGCCCUCCACUUCGGGAUAAGCCUGGGAAACCGGGUCUAAUACCGGAUAGGACCUCUGGGUGCAUGCCUGGGGGUGGAAAGUUUUUCGGUGGGGGAUGGGCCCGCGGUCUAUCAGCUUGUUGGUGGGGUGAUGGCCUACCAAGGCGACGACGGAUAGCCGGCCUGAGAGGGUGAUCGGCCACACUGGGACUGAGACACGGCCCAGACUCCUACGGGAGGCAGCAGUGGGGAAUCUUGCGCAAUGGGCGAAAGCCUGACGCAGCAACGCCGCGUGGGGGAUGACGGCCUUCGGGUUGUAAACCUCUUUCGCGAUCGACGAAGGUCGUACUUCUGGUACGGCUGACGGUAGGUCGAGAAGAAGCACCGGCCAACUACGUGCCAGCCGCCGCGAGUAAAC
This 493-nucleotide ribosomal RNA is filed under the name uncultured bacterium. RNAcentral describes it as "bacterial SSU rRNA". It matches the Rfam family "Bacterial small subunit ribosomal RNA", at positions 28 to 526 of the family's 1533-position model. The record is from RNAcentral.